Molecule: ribosomal RNA, 497 nt
Filed under: uncultured bacterium
Lineage: Bacteria
Description: partial 16S ribosomal RNA
Rfam family: Bacterial small subunit ribosomal RNA
Source: RNAcentral
GAUGAACGCUGGCGGCGUGCCUAAUACAUGCAAGUCGAGCGAACGGACGAGACGCUUGCUUUUCUGAUGUUAGCGGCGGACGGGUGAGUAACACGUGUAUAACCUACCUAUCAGACUGGGAUAACUUCGGGACACCGGAGCUAAUACCGGAUAAUAUUUUGCACCGCAUGGUUCAAAAGUGAAAUACGGUCUUGCUGUCACUUAUAGAUGGUUCCGCGCUGCAUUAGCUAGUUGGUAAGGUAACGGCUUACCAAGGCAACUAUGCCUAGACGACCUGAGAGAGUGAUCGCCCACACGAGAGCUGGGACAGCGUCCAGACGACUGAGGGAGGGAGCAGUAGGGUAUCGGCCGCAGUAGGCGAGAGCCUGACGGAGCGGCGCGACGUCAGUGAUGAAGAUCUUCGGAGCGUAAAACUGGGUUAUUAGUGAAGAACAGAUGUGGAAGUAACUGUGCACAUCGUGACGGUACCUAAUCAGAAAGCCACGGCUAACUACGUG